UCGGGCUAAAAAGUCGGAGGAAGGUGGGGAUGACGUCAAAUCAUCAUGCCCCUUAUGACCUGGGCUACACACGUGCUACAAUGGGCGGUACAAAGGGUCGCGAACCCGCGAGGGGGAGCCAAUCCCAAAAAGCCGCUCUCAGUUCGGAUUGCAGGCUGCAACUCGCCUGCAUGAAGCCGGAAUCGCUAGUAAUCGCGGAUCAGCAUGCCGCGGUGAAUACGUUCCCGGGCCUU
RNAcentral lists this ribosomal RNA (233 nucleotides) under uncultured Anoxybacillus sp. RNAcentral's name for it is "partial 16S ribosomal RNA". It matches the Rfam family "Bacterial small subunit ribosomal RNA", at positions 1151 to 1382 of the family's 1533-position model. Lineage: Bacteria; Bacillati; Bacillota; Bacilli; Caryophanales; Anoxybacillaceae. The record is from RNAcentral.